This 253-nucleotide ribosomal RNA is filed under the name uncultured bacterium. Its description in RNAcentral is "partial 16S ribosomal RNA". It matches the Rfam family "Bacterial small subunit ribosomal RNA", at positions 524 to 776 of the family's 1533-position model. The record is from RNAcentral.
UACGACGGGUGCAAGCGUUACUCGGAAUUACUGGGCGUAAAGCGUGCGUAGGUGGUUUGUUAAGUCUGUUGUGAAAGCCCCGGGCUCAACCUGGGAAUGGCAAUGGAUACUGGCAAGCUAGAGUGCGGUAGAGGGUAGUGGAAUUCCCGGUGUAGCGGUGAAAUGCGUAGAGAUCGGGAGGAACACCAGUGGCGAAGGCGGCUACCUGGACCAGCACUGACACUGAGGCACGAAAGCGUGGGGAGCAAACAGG